RNAcentral lists this ribosomal RNA (475 nucleotides) under uncultured Ascomycota. RNAcentral's name for it is "eukaryotic LSU rRNA". The stretch from base 175 to 328 matches the Rfam family "5.8S ribosomal RNA". Lineage: Eukaryota; Fungi; Ascomycota. The record is from RNAcentral.
CAUUACAGAGUUCAUGCCCUUACGGGUAGAUCUCCCACCCUUAUGUUAUCAUCACUUUGUUGCUUUGGCGGGCCGUUAGGCUCACGCCCGACCACCGGCUCCGGCUGGUGAGCGCCCGCCAGAGGACCCAAAACCCUGAUUAUUAGUGUCGUCUGAGUACUAUAUAAUAGUUAAAACUUUCAACAACGGAUCUCUUGGUUCUGGCAUCGAUGAAGAACGCAGCGAAAUGCGAUAAGUAAUGUGAAUUGCAGAAUUCAGUGAAUCAUCGAAUCUUUGAACGCACAUUGCGCCCCUUGGUAUUCCGAGGGGCAUGCCUGUUUGAGUGUCAUGAUAUUCUCAACAAAAUUGUUGGAUAUUGGAGAAUGCUGGUUGUUGAAUCGGCUACUCUUGAAUGUAGAAAAUAAAAAUGUGAAGGUAAUAGAUUUUACUUCACUUUGACAUAUUCUCUAUGACCUCAAANCAGGUAGGAGUACCC